RNAcentral lists this ribosomal RNA (440 nucleotides) under uncultured bacterium. Its description in RNAcentral is "partial 16S ribosomal RNA". It matches the Rfam family "Bacterial small subunit ribosomal RNA", at positions 338 to 795 of the family's 1533-position model. The record is from RNAcentral.
CCUACGGGAGGCUGCAGUGGGGAAUAUUGCACAAUGGGGGAAACCCUGAUGCAGCGACGCCGCGUGAGUGAAGAAGUCUUUCGGGAUGUAAAGCACUAUCAGCAGGGAAGAAAAUGACGGUACCUGUUUAAGAAGCCACGGCUAACUACGUGCCAGCAGCCGCGGUAUUACGUAGGGGGCAAGCGUGAUCCGGUUUUACUGGUUGUAACGGGAGCGUAGACGGCAGCACAAGUCUGGAGUGAAAUGCCGGGGCUUAACCCCGGAACUGCUUUGGAUACUGUGCAGCUAGAGUGCAGGAGAGGGAAGUAGAAUUCCUAGUGUAGCGGUGAAAUGCGUAGAUAUUAGGAGGAAUACCAGUGGCGAAGGCGGCCUACUGGACGGUAACUGACGUUGAGGCUCGAAAGCGUGGGGAGCAAACAGGAUUAGAUACCCUUGUAGUC